AAUUAUCAAACCUUUCUUUAAAUUUAUUUUAAAGGUUGGCUUGGACUUGGAGGUUGCUGGCCGCGCCAUUUUGUAGUCAGUCAGCUCCUCUUGAAUGCAUUAGCUUGAGUCUUUAAUGAGUCGGCUUAUCGGUGUGAUAAACUUAUGCCGUUAGUCAACUUGUAAACAAAUUGAGCUUCUAAUCGUCUUUGGACAAACAUUAUAAUAUGAC
RNAcentral lists this unclassified non-coding RNA (211 nucleotides) under uncultured Fibroporia. Its description in RNAcentral is "sequence contains ITS2". The record is from RNAcentral. Lineage: Eukaryota; Fungi; Basidiomycota; Agaricomycetes; Polyporales.